UAUAAUGGGUCAGCGACUUAUAUUCUGUAGCAAGGUUAACCGAAUAGGGGAGCCGAAGGGAAACCGAGUCUUAACUGGGCGUUAAGUUGCAGGGUAUAGACCCGAAACCCGGUGAUCUAGCCAUGGGCAGGUUGAAGGUUGGGUAACACUAACUGGAGGACCGAACCGACUAAUGUUGAAAAAUUAGCGGAUGACUUGUGGCUGGGGGUGAAAGGCCAAUCAAACCGGGAGAUAGCUGGUUCUCCCCGAAAGCUAUUUAGGUAGCGCCUCGUGAAUUCAUCUCCGGGGGUAGAGCACUGUUUCGGCAAGGGGGUCAUCCCGACUUACCAACCCGAUGCAAACUGCGAAUACCGGAGAAUGUUAUCACGGGAGACACACGGCGGGUGCUAACGUCCGUCGUGAAGAGGGAAACAACCCAGACCGCCAGCUAAGGUCCCAAAGUCAUGGUUAAGUGGGAAACGAUGUGGGAAGGCCCAGACAGCCAGGAUGUUGGCUUAGAAGCAGCCAUCAUUUAAAGAAAGCGUAAUAGCUCACUGGUCGAGUCGGCCUGCGCGGAAGAUGUAACGGGGCUAAACCAUG
RNAcentral lists this ribosomal RNA (579 nucleotides) under Escherichia coli. Its description in RNAcentral is "partial 23S ribosomal RNA". It matches the Rfam family "Bacterial large subunit ribosomal RNA", at positions 611 to 1191 of the family's 2925-position model. The record is from RNAcentral. Lineage: Bacteria; Pseudomonadati; Pseudomonadota; Gammaproteobacteria; Enterobacterales; Enterobacteriaceae.